Transfer RNA from Ovis aries (sheep), 72 nucleotides. It matches the Rfam family "tRNA". From Rfam's summary of the family: Transfer RNA (tRNA) molecules are approximately 80 nucleotides in length. Their secondary structure includes four short double-helical elements and three loops (D, anti-codon, and T loops). Lineage: Eukaryota; Metazoa; Chordata; Mammalia; Artiodactyla; Bovidae. The record is from Rfam.
UCCCUGGUGGUCUAGUAGCUAAGACUCCGUGUUCUCAAUGUAGGGGACUAGGUUCAAUCCCUGGUCAGGGAA